UGUGUAUCUCCUACACAAUUUUGUCUGGACUCUCAAUAUUGAACUUUCUAGAAAGUAAGAAUUCUUCUUCCAUUGUAAAAGAGUUCCAGGAAGAAACAUAUACUCAAAAAGACUUCUCUGAUCUUCUCAUGUCUUCUCAUGUGUUGCGAUUUCAGGUUAGUUAUCUCAAUCUUUGCCCUAAGCCUUUUCUGGUUCUCAAUCUCAAGGCUUCAAAGAUUGUUCUUUUAGAUCUCUUCCUUUUCACUAUUGGGUGUUCCAAUUUCAAGGCUACUUUUUUAUUUUAUUUUUUUUGCUCAAAUUCCUUUUCGGUUCAAUUUAACAAGUGAACUUCAUGGAUGAUAUUGUUAUUGUGUUGUCUCCCACUCCCCAAUUUCAUGGUGGAUAAUGAAUUACACUACAUCAGUUUUCUACUCCGCAGACAACCAUACCCUAGGAGUAUACACUCUCUCCCUCUAGCUUCAAAAGAUACUAACAGUCUUUAUUAGUUUUCUCAGGACUUUUAGAAAAUACUUACUUUUCUUCAUCCUUUCAAUUAAUUUACCAAUUCCAGGAAUAUUUCUACCUUAGUGUUGGUGCAUAGAUAGGCGGUUGGAGUUCAGGUAAGUUUUUCUCUCAAUUUUUGUUAUGAUUUUUUUUUCCAAUUCUUUUCAAAUUCCUCAACAUAUAGAAAGGGUUAGAUUCAAGAACCGAAUGAUUUUGUGUGAAGCUUUGAGUCUCUACUGUUGUUGUCGAUAGAUUGACGUUGGGUGUCUAUCGGCUGAAUCUCAGGACGACAAUCUUGUCCUUUUUUUUUAAAAAAUAAAUAAAUAAAUUUCUUGAUUCCUUUGAUGGUGGGGCAGUUAAUUUAGGUUCAUGGCAUUGGGUUGUGCAUAUGCCAUGCAAAGGGUCAUUACACCACUGGUGACUUUAUUCAUACCAUUCACACCUUCAUAUGCGGCGUAUCAUGGGAGAAACGAACUUAGAAAUGGGUCAACCCUAGCAAUUCAAAAGGCAUAGAAGAGAGCAUGAAGUGCUCUCGUAGAUUCUUUGGUAAAUUGACAAGAAUACAGUAAAGGUGCGUUCGUCACUCGCAAUCUACUUUUGUAUAAUUGUUCAACUCGCAUUUGAUAUUCAAAUCACAUUUUCUAUAGCUUUGUCUUGAUUAGCCUGCAGUUCUUUGUUGAGCAGUUUGUUAGUCAUUAAUGUGGGACAUAACAUACAAAUAAGAGAAUACUUAUUUUUACAUGGAUGAUACUUUUAAAGCAUGUUUGAAUAAUUUUAGCUUUAUUUUAAAGCUAUACAAAACUUUGAGGUACCUCAAAGUUCUAGAUGUUGCUACAAAGAAGCAACUACACGUAUUGUUGACAAUUUCUUCAAAUUAGAUGUAUUAAUGAUAUAUUUUGACAAUUUUUUAGCAAUAAUAGAGCUUCUUGAGGCGCAUAUGUUGUGAUUGUGCGUACUUUUUCUUGACAUUAUUGCCUCUUGAUUGUGCAGAAUUUUUUUGUGACUUUGUUGCGAAGAAAAUGGAGGAUGUUUUUGCUGGUGACUGGGGGUGGUAAAUCAUGGUUUUACUUGUUGUUUUCUCAAUAUAAUAUGUGAUUUAACGAUUUAAGAAGGAAACUAACUUUGAAAACAACUCUGAUUCACAAUUUGGGAUGAAACGGUGCGCUACUGUUUGCCGAGUAUCUGUACUGAUCAAAGAAAACACUAAGGUUGGUUCAUGCAGGAUGGAACACUCAUGGAGCUUUCAAAUUGUUAAAUGAGAAUAUUGAGGCUCAAUGAGAAUAGCAAGCAGAUAUUUACAUGUCUUCAAAACCAUCUAAAUCACUGAUCACCAUCAUCUCUAACCCUCCAUGAAAAGUACAUCUAAGGACACUCUUCAAAAGUUUUAGCAAAUUCUGUAAGGAUGAGAUUUGAAAGAAAAUUCCAAAACCAAUCUAACCGUGGUUGGAGUUUAAUGAAGACUUUUUCGAUGAAUAUUUGGAGGUAUAUAUUCAUAAUUUGGACUGCACUGACUUUUCUAAAUUAAGGAGCUCUGAAAGAUUACAUGCUUUCUGGAUGAGAUCGGGAUUAUUUGUGCGGAAGAACAGUUGCGAAUGUAAAAGUGAAAGAGCACACCGAUUCGGACGAAGUGUAGCUUGGGUUUGCUUUAGCCGUUUUGCACACUUUUUUUUUGAAAGCAAGUACAGUAAUCAAGUUUUAAAAAUAAGAAGGGUGUUAUAUUAAUUUAACUUUUAAGUUAGGAAGUUCAUGCUUUUAUGGUAGUAUAGAAGAUAUAGAUUAUAUUUGCAUGUCUUCAAGUUGCCUCCUCCUCCCAUCUUUUCAUUUAAAUUUCUCAUUGUUUUCUUAUGUAUCGGAGCUACAUUAUUUUUGUUUUGGGAUUAUUUUACCAUCUUAUAUUUUCGCUGUUUCAGUA
Molecule: long non-coding RNA, 2395 nt
Organism: Solanum dulcamara
Lineage: Eukaryota; Viridiplantae; Streptophyta; Magnoliopsida; Solanales; Solanaceae
Exons: 4
Source: RefSeq, a predicted model, not a curated record